Molecule: ribosomal RNA, 301 nt
Filed under: uncultured bacterium
Lineage: Bacteria
Description: partial 16S ribosomal RNA
Rfam family: Bacterial small subunit ribosomal RNA
Source: RNAcentral
CAGCCGCCGCGGUAAUACGGAGGGGGCUAGCGUUGUUCGGAAUUACUGGGCGUAAAGCGCACGUAGGCGGCUUUGUAAGUUAGAGGUGAAAGCCUGGGGCUCAACUCCAGAAUUGCCUUUAAGACUGCAUCGCUUGAACGUCGGAGGGGUGAGUGGAAUUCCGAGUGUAGAGGUGAAAUUCGUAGAUAUUCGGAAGAACACCAGUGGCGAAGGCGGCUCACUGGACGACUGUUGACGCUGAGGUGCGAAAGCGUGGGGAGCAAACAGGAUUAGAUACCCCCGUAGUCCCUGUCUCUUAUAC